GCCAGCAGCCAUAUCACCCUGCAACUCACAACUGGCAAUUGGCAACCCACUGAAGCUAAGCAGGUGUGAGCCUGGCCAGUACCUGGAUAGGAGACCUCCUGGGAAAAACUAAGGUUGCUGCUGGAA
This 126-nucleotide ribosomal RNA is filed under the name Lepisosteus oculatus (spotted gar). The record is from RNAcentral. Lineage: Eukaryota; Metazoa; Chordata; Actinopteri; Semionotiformes; Lepisosteidae.